RNAcentral lists this ribosomal RNA (369 nucleotides) under Triticum aestivum (bread wheat). RNAcentral's name for it is "partial small subunit ribosomal RNA". Lineage: Eukaryota; Viridiplantae; Streptophyta; Magnoliopsida; Poales; Poaceae. The record is from RNAcentral.
AUGGGGAGGCGGCUCCCGUUUGUCGGUUGUAGCAUCGCUCACCUUCGGCUCCAGCUUGCCGCCGCGCUGGUUUGUUGCAAAAUACUUGUCGAUGGAAGCUUUUUCGAUUGCAACAAAAUAAGGGAUCCGCCAUCGUCGCCGCAGAAAUUACUCAGGUCGAUGCAGCAAAAAAAGAUGUUGUUUCCAGCUCGGGGCUUCGCUGGUUGUAGCAAAACAAUCUGCCAGUUCCAGCUCCGGCAGCGUAGGUGGAAACAAAAUCGCUCUGCUGGUUGUAGCAAAACCAUUUGCCGGUUCCAGCUCCGGUGUCGGCCGGUGGCAGCAAAAUUGCUCGCUGGAUGUAGCAAACCGGGCACCAGUUCUAACCGGUGA